UAGUUGCAGGGAUAAGGAAGAGACAGGAUACAGCCAGUUCUGCCCAAAGGUUUCAAAAUCACUUUGGGUCUAAAGGCUGGAAUUGGAAAAACUAACCAAUCCAUUGCCCACACUGAGCCUAGAAGGAUCUGAAAAGUGCAAAUCUGAGCAGCCGGUACCCUGCCCCAAAUCCCUGGUGAAAAGAGGGGGAAAAAAAUCAAAAGAAAACCGACCAACCUUGACCCACCACACCCUCAGGACUCAGGAUCAAGUCCAAUGCUCUGACGACUCACCACAUCCUCCGGGCUGCUCUCACAGGCUUGACUCCAAGCCCCACCUCUCCUUCCCCCACUGCCUGCCCUACCCUGGGCGCCGUGCUGUCCUUGGCACAUUGCCCUGCCCUGCCUUGCUGGGUCACGUGACUGGUGUCCCCAGAGUGGCGCCCCUCCCACCUCGGGCAGGAGCAGGUCUGCUGUCUCCUCUGUACCCACAACGCGAGUUUCCAUCAGUGAGAGGGGCCCCCUAGGUGUCUGUGGAAAGAACGGCAAAGGGAGGGACGGUGAAGGAGAAAGAGGCGGAAAUCAAUGAAUGAAAUCAGUGAGUGAAAUGAACCAAUCCACGGUUCUUCCUCAACUCCCAGGAUGCUUGAGGAACGACUGCAUUUACAAGGCCCCAGGGCUGGCCCUGCCCUGCCCUGCCCUGCCCUGCCCUUCUUGGGUCCCAGGACGGCCUUACUGUGCUGCUCUCCUUCUUUUCUGUCUCUUCUAGCUCCACCCCCAGGGCACCCACCAGCAGGCACAAAGAGUGUGGGGCCUCCUGGGCAGGGCAGGACCCUCUAGAGAAUAACCCUUCCCAGGCAGAGAGGACAAGGACCACAGGUCAGAGUGAGAGCGCCCACCGCACACUUCCCAGGGGCCGAAACCCCGUCUCCUUACCUGGACGUUCCAGCUACAGCGGCCAGGCCAACGCGCUUCUCCGUGCGUCUCCCACGCCCCGACGCAGCCAUGUCCCAGCCGGCUCACUGAACUCACUGUGGUUCCUUCCAGGACUCUUCAGUGUUAGGCAAUGGUGACGCAUAAAGGCACUGUUGUCUCAGUUGCGAGCUGGGGCUGACCCUGCCCUCCCUCGGCACUCAGCCCCCAUCUGGCGACUAAGCAAGGGCCGAGUGCUACCUGCUUCCACGUCUCCUGUGCCUGGAACACAGUAGGGGCUCAAUAAACGGACAAACAGUGA
Molecule: long non-coding RNA, 1212 nt
Organism: Neofelis nebulosa (Clouded leopard)
Lineage: Eukaryota; Metazoa; Chordata; Mammalia; Carnivora; Felidae
Exons: 2
Source: RefSeq, a predicted model, not a curated record